UACGGAGGGAGCUAGCGUUGUUCGGAAUCACUGGGCUUAAAAGGGCGCGUAGGCGGCGAAUCAAGUCAGGGGUGAAAUCCGGCAGCUUAACUGUCGAAGUGCCUUUGAUACUGGUUUGCUCGAGGGAGAUAGGGGGUCUGUGGAACUUCUGGUGGAGCGGUGAAAUGCGUUGAUAAUCAGAAGGAACGCCGGUGGCGAAAGCGACGGACUGGAUCUCUUC
Molecule: ribosomal RNA, 220 nt
Filed under: uncultured bacterium
Lineage: Bacteria
Description: partial 16S ribosomal RNA
Rfam family: Bacterial small subunit ribosomal RNA
Source: RNAcentral